GAUGAACGCUGGCGGCGUGCCUAAUACAUGCAAGUCGAGCGAACAGACGAGGAGCUUGCUCCUCUGACGUUAGCGGCGGACGGGUGAGUAACACGUGGAUAACCUACCUAUAAGACUGGGAUAACUUCGGGAAACCGGAGCUAAUACCGGAUAAUAUAUUGAACCGCAUGGUUCAAUAGUGAAAGACGGUUUUGCUGUCACUUAUAGAUGGAUCCGCGCUGCAUUAGCUAGUUGGUAAGGUAACGGCUUACAAAGGCAACGAUGCGUAGCCGACCUGAGAGGGUGAUCCGCCACACUGUAACUGAGACACGGUCCAGACUCCGACGGUAGGCAGCAGUAGGGAAUCUUCCGCAAUGGGCGAGAGCCUGACGUAGCACCGCCGCGUGAGUGCUGAAGGUCCUCUGACCGUAAAGUUCUGUUAUUAUGGAAGAACAAAUGUGUUAGUACCUAUGCACGUCUUGACGGUACCUAAUCAGAAAGCCACGGCUAACUACGUG
RNAcentral lists this ribosomal RNA (497 nucleotides) under uncultured bacterium. RNAcentral's name for it is "partial 16S ribosomal RNA". It matches the Rfam family "Bacterial small subunit ribosomal RNA", at positions 28 to 507 of the family's 1533-position model. The record is from RNAcentral.